CAAUGCCUUUAGCGUUCAUUAAUCCUGGAUCCCACCUGUGGCAGCUUCACAAUGGUCCUGCUGAAUCUGAGGACUGUCACACUCACCUGGCAGAAGAUGAAGAGGAGCUCUGGUGUCCCUCUGAAGUCACCUUAGAGAACCUGGACUGCAGCUAUCCAGGCCAGUCUUCCAUGGGCACAACUUGCUGUGUAUCUCUUCACAUCUGGUGAACGAUCUACAGAAAAUGACACUCAUACAGGAGCCUCGGGGCUGCACCGUAGCCAGCAGGAUGAGAGAGGCCUGAGAGUGGAGGAGACAUGAAAGCUUUAUGGUAUUUAUACGAAUGCUGGCAGAUUGUGCCAGAGCUACUGUUCCCCCUGGGUAUUGUUUCAUCCUGAGGCAGCACACUUCUUCACCAGUCUGACUGUCCUCUGCCUCAGCUGCCAGUGGCUUCCACACCUUCAGUGGAUGCUCUCUUUAGGUAUUGCUCAGGGCGUGCUGGCACAUCCCAUGAGACCAAUGCCUCUUCCUACAUUCAAGGUUGCACAGAGAGAGGGAGAAUGAAAACACAAGUUAAACUUCUUUUUGCUUUCUGACUUUUCACUGUGUUCCCUUUUCCAGAAAGAAAGCCCUCCUCUCUUUCUUUCAAGGAUCAGAUGUCUCGAAAAUUCAGUGCCCCAAUAACUGGAGUAAAUUUCAUCUCGUUGUAUAGCUGCGUUGGAAAGGAAGAGGACACAACCAGAAAAAAGGGACUGAGCCACUAUGGACUCGGUGGUCGUGGGACAUCCCUCCAUGAAUGCAAAGGCCAGGUCAGAUGGACUGUGAAGGGUCUGCUACAAGUAUUUCAACCUGCCUGUUCAAAAGACAGCUGAGUUCAUCAUGAGUGGUAUCACAUAGGGUUGUGGUUUUUUUUUUCUCCAUCUGCAGGAAUGCAGAUUUUGUGAUCAGGGGAAAAGCUUUGGGUUGAUAAUAUAAACUUUAUACUGCUGGAGAGGUUUUUCUCCAAGCUUCAGCCCUGGAAAAGGGGUUGUACCGUAAUCUCUGCUGUCUCUGUGCUGAGCUGAAAUGCAAUGCUUUUAUUACAUUCACUUGAAAUAACGGCACCUGCAUCCCCAGGACAGGAUGCCAGUGGCACAGUCAAAACCUCAUUCACUUGCUUGUGUGCCGGGGCUCUAGAAAAAUUUCCGAGGAACUGGGACCCCUGCUGCAUUAAGCAGUGUCCCUUUUAAAUGUACUAAUUGCAGAGCAUAAAAUGAAGAGAAAUGGUCACAGCAGUGGUGGAUAAAGAAUUUUUGUCCCUCAUUAGGCAAGUUUAAGCUUGAGACUCUGGUAGAGCUUUGUCAUCGCAGCCCAGCACUUCUGCUAUAUGACAGUAUUAGAGCGUGCAGACUUCAAAUGGGCUUUCCAUGAGCAUUCAUGCAAGUCAGGCUCCAUCACUCUAAUGUCUGCAGAAAGCAAACAGAAAAGAGCUGGGAAGUUUGGGCAAAGGGAAUCUAUUUUCAAGCCACGACCAACACUAGUCAAUGUAAUCCUUUUCUUGGUCCCUAGAUGUGAGAGAUGAUUAAAAAAAAACCCAAAUCAGAAACAAGUCAGCAUCAGCCAGCCAGGUCUUAAUGGGACACUAGCUCUUAAUGGGUGUUUGCUCCUAUUCACACUGCUGCGUACUCUUCUUCCUUCAACUUACAUAGUCAGAUAUAAUUAGUGAAUAAGUUUAUGCAAAUAUGAGACAAGGAUGGGUUUUUAGAGCAGGACUUCUAGGUUAAAGUGGGUUUUAACUAGAAAGCUACGCACCCUUUUCAGGAAAUGACCACCUCCACCUCAGACAGCAUUUCUGAAGAUUUACUGUAAAACCCAAUGAAAAUUAGGCAAAACUUGGGAAGCUUGGUUAUUGUUUUCAUUCAUCUCAUUUGCUAGUGCAAGUGUAUGAGGAGUGAGGUAUAUGUGAUACGGUUUGGCUUUGUGUUUGAAAUCCUAGUGGUUUCACAGCCAUUUUCCCUUGCCUGCGGGCUCUGCCCCAUGGGUUGAAUACCUUUCUGGAGCAUCAAACACAUCCAAAUGUGGAUAGGCAGAGGUAAAAGCUGCAGAUGGUCAAAGAAUCAGCUCCAGUUUUGCCCAGAAUCCCCAAAGAAGGGCUCAUUUCUGUCAUGCUGACAAUGGUGCUCGCCACUCCAGCAACAGUUGCCUCUGAAAAUCCCCUGAAAUAUUUUCCUCUCCUUUCACUUUUCAUUUUCACAGGCCUUUGCACUUCUCAACCCUGAUCUUAGGUGAAAUGAGAGCACCAAAUUAACUCAAGAGUGUUGUGCUUCUGCAGGACAGGGCAGAGUCCCAGCAGAAGCCUCAUCUCAUGACACUACAAAAGUGCCUGGUGCAACAGUAUUGCCGAGUGAGCAUCCCCACCUACCACAUACUGCCAGCCUCUGGGGCAGUACAGACUCAAUUGCAUCACAUCAAGGUCAAGGACAUGAAAUACGUGCCCAUACACCAGACCCAGCAGGCUAUGGGGUCCCAACUGUGUUCCCUGAGACCACAGUAGUGAGAAUCCUCCAUGAGCUAUUUCUUCCUGAUGUAAAGUGGGGCUGGCUGCCUCUAGCCAGCUGACUGGCAGCUGAGAGGCUCUUAAUGAGCAUCUCUUCCCCCUUGGCAGUGCUCACUGAAGGAGACCUCAGCUGGGAAGGAGAGCUGCCGUAUCGGGCUGAAUUACCCUGAAUUAUUCUUUGCGCGUCUAGAAAGACAUAGCUGCUAUUUAGAAAAGCUCAUAAACCAACAAUGCAUCCAGCAUAUAAAAGGCAAAUUAAAAAAAAAAAAAGCGCACAGCAUGAACCUAUAUUUUAAAAUAAAUUUCAUUUAUCCCAAUUGCCCCUUUUCUGAAACACUAAUAGAACAAACUGUCAUGGUAGAAGCUGAGGAGGGACAGGAAGAAACGAAGGCCCUGUGGAUAAUUCAGAAGUGAUAUGCCAUGCAUGAGAAACAGCACUGAAAAAUGCAUGAGAGCUGUUUUGUAAAAAAAAUGCACUGUGGAAAUGCUGGCUUCCUUGGAAGAAUCAAGAGCAAUAAAUAGAAAGAAGCAAGACUGCAAAGAGCCUGAAACUGAGAGCAGAAAGGUCUCAGAAACCUGACUGGGUUGGAAAAGGGGAGGCACUGGAAGUUUUCAGAGAGGAGCGGAUGAUCCACGGGGACAUACUUGAAGAGGACCCUGUGUUUUGCAUGUGACUGAGGUCAGGGCAGAGAAGGCAGCUGUAGUCAACACAAGUGAGGAUUUUUGCUCUGGGGGAAAAAGAAAAAAAUGUCAGGUCUAGAAAACUGUAGAAGGAAGGAGUGACACAGCCAGCUCCUCUUCUCGUCCUGCCUGGCACUGGGCUGCUGCUGCAAAGGGGAAUGACGACUGAAGUCAGUGCAGCAGGCGCAGGGAAUGAAGACAUACUGCUGAAGCACAGCCUGCCCGAGAUGAGUGUGACAUUGGUUUUGUGUGACUGUCAUACUUGGACUGGUGUCCAGGAGCUGGGGAUUAUUAUAACAAUGACAUGGCAAUGGGUUGAAUCUCCUCAAUGGCAAAGACGAGUAGGGGGAUGCUCGGUGUCAGCUGGAAUGAGCAGUGGUGCUCCCCGGUACAAGAAAUGCCAGCCUUCACUCCAGUCCUUGUUUUAUUUUUUAACUACAGAAAACACAUCCUUUGCAACACACAGGGUGGCCAAAUAGAUGCAGGGGCUACCUGAAAUCCAAAGAGCACAGGGAUUCAGACAGGAAAAAAAAAAAAAAAAAAAAAAAAAAAAAAAAAAGAUUUCAUUUGCAGCUAUGUCUAUAAAGCAAGAUUGAGGAUGCCAUUUGGCAUUGGGCACUGCCUGUGUGGUGAAGUGUUUCCUGAGUGUGUAGGUAGACUCUGAGGAAAGUGAACCGGGUAAUUGCCUUUCCUGGGGCAUCAAACACGGGGAUAGGGAGAGGGACAGAGAUAAUAAGGAAAACGUAAUGCUGAACUGCCUGCCUGAUUAUUUAGCAGGUGCGUGUGUGAAUGUGUCUCUGUGCACACCUUUAAUUAGCCUAGAAAUCAAAUGACUGCUGCAGAGUCUCUCUCUCAUGAUUUUUAAAGGACCCCUCUGUUGUGCAUUUUAGUGGCAGAUUUAUAAAGGAGCUGGGAAACAGUGUGGGGGGGUUUCAACACUGAUGCCAUUUCCCAGGCUUGGGAGGCAAAGCAUCCCCAAUCAGGAGGGAGCCAGGAGACUGGGGGAGCCCCUAGUGCCCUUCUCUCUGCCCUCCUCCUUAACAGCCACAAGCACAAGAAACACAAUAAAGGUCCAAGUCAGCCCAGCUGAUGCCCAGCUGUCAGACCCUGAUGGAAAUGCUGGAGGUGGGGCACAAGGGUGUCAUCUGGGUAGAAACGGUGCAUUAAAAUCACCUUGGCUCACGCAGGUUCCAGAGUUGCACCGACUGCCCAAGGAGUAAACUGUGGAGAAGCAGGGCCUUUGCACCAAAAUAAAUCUAGUGUCCUUUGUCAUGCCCACAAGGCAAACCAAGAUGCUCAUUUGAAUCCAUGAGAUUGGCAUUUUCUUGUGGUGAGGGCCAGAGUGCCUGGCUUGGAAAAACAGGAGGAAAUACAGGCAAAAUUUCACAGUCCUGGCCAAAUGCAUUCACCUCCAUUCAUUGCUUUAUCUUCCUGAAGGAUCCUCUAUGCACUGGCAGUCCCAAAGGUGUUACCAUGUUCUUAAAAUGUUUUCAGUAUAAUUGAACUUGGUCAGCCUAUGAUGAAGGCAAACACAAGCUGACAAGCACAGGACUGACCCUUAUACGUUGAUCAUAUCUUCCUUUCCCACAGAGAUAUGACUAGGAAGAAGGAAAAGCCUUUAAAAAGCCCCUGAAAGUGGCUAAAAUAAGAAUUGGCUGAAAAGGGAAAAAAUUAACACUUAAUUUUUUAUUUCCCUGAAUACAGGAGGAGAACCAAAUCUUCCAUUUGUGUUUCUUUGAAUUAUAGAAAGGAAAUUCCACAAAAAAUCAUUUUAUUUCCUUCAAAGCUGUUGAAAACUUAUGUGUUGAUGACUUACGUGCUUCAUGUUACAAUGUCAGGAGGAAAGGUUGGGUCUUUAAAAUAUUCUUGUUGUUGUUGUUGUUCAUAAAAAUAAAUGUAUUUUUUGUUCCUUUCAUUUUGACAUGCUUUGUGAAGAGUGUAUGCUCAGCAAGUCUAAAAACUUUUGGGACAACCUGUCACAGCCUCUAGAAAUAGACUAAAUAAGUGUUAACCAAGACAUGAAAUAUGAAACACAACAACACAAGGCAGAAUGAAGUGAAACUGUGCUCUGAUUUCAAAUCACGCAUAAACAGAUUUCCUUGCAAUAA
Molecule: long non-coding RNA, 5304 nt
Organism: Athene cunicularia (burrowing owl)
Lineage: Eukaryota; Metazoa; Chordata; Aves; Strigiformes; Strigidae
Exons: 2
Source: RefSeq, a predicted model, not a curated record